UGAAUAUGCACGCGUGGGACGACAUAAUGACAGCGGAAUCUCUGCAAUUGCAUUGAGCUCAACAGGCUCCUAUGGAAGACUAUUCUCUUUAUGGCCUGUCUUGGAGAAAGAGCAUACCAUCCUUGGCAUUUCUUCUGCAUCUGUUGAUAUCAUCAGCCCGUAACACUUGGAAGAAGGAAACUCCAUUUCCAAGUCUAGGGAAGAGUGAUUAUGAAUUCAAUAUGCCAGCACAGAAAUUCAAAGAGAGCACAUAGUGUUAACAACAGUAACUUUUUCUUCCCUGAGGCUACAGUGCCCUGCUGGGAGCUGGUGCCAGAUCUGGU
This is a long non-coding RNA of Grus americana (Whooping crane), 323 nucleotides long. RefSeq lists it as uncharacterized. The transcript is spliced from 4 exons. The record is from RefSeq and is a predicted model, not a curated record. Lineage: Eukaryota; Metazoa; Chordata; Aves; Gruiformes; Gruidae.